This is a long non-coding RNA of Chrysolophus pictus (golden pheasant), 831 nucleotides long. Lineage: Eukaryota; Metazoa; Chordata; Aves; Galliformes; Phasianidae. The record is from Ensembl.
AGCGCACCAGGGUUCAUGGCAGGGACGCCUGACUCACCCCAUCACCUGACGCCACGUGAUUGAUCAGCCCUGCAGACCUUUGUGCUGGGUGGGAGAGGAGUGCUGACGUUUACCCCGUGCCCAUGGUGACCGCCGCAGCACCGGGAGUGGUGCUGCCAGUUUCAUUGCUCCGCAGUGUCACCCCUGCCCACCGCACCUUCCUCGCCCAGGCAGGGCUCUGUAUUUAACGGGUGCCCGAGGGCUGGGCCCACUGCUUCGGGAGAGCCACGCCAAGGACGGCCAGCAGGACUGCGGUGCUCUCGGAAGGAACUGAUCUGCGGGGUGGUAGCUUGGAGUCAGUAGAGGAUGUGGAACGCUAGCCAAGGCACACCACCACCACCGCAGAUGCAAGUCUGCCCACCUGCCCCUCCGAAUUGCCAGUACCCUGGGCCCAGCAACCCUUGCUACCCAGCAGUGCCACCUGGCCCCCCUGGGACCUGCCCCCCAGGGCCCCCUCCACCUGGCCCUCACCCACCAGGCCACCACCACCAUGGGCACCACUCACCGGGCCACCACCACCACGGCCACCACGGCCACCACCACCAUGGGCAUCCCCCACAUGGGCCACCAGGAUGCCCACCUGGGUGCCCACCAGGCCACCAUGACUGCCAUCAGAAGCACAAGAAGAAGCACAAGAAGAAGCACUCCAAGUGUUCCCACAAGCACCAUGGAGGCAAGCACUCAGGCAGCUCAAGCAGCUCAAGCAGCUCUGAUUCUGACUGAAGAGAACAUCUCCUGCCUGUGUGGAGGUGAAGCCCCGAGGAGACAAUAAACGAAGACAAAUGCCCCGCA